RNAcentral lists this long non-coding RNA (3697 nucleotides) under Homo sapiens (human). RNAcentral describes it as "HSALNT0017165". The record is from RNAcentral. Lineage: Eukaryota; Metazoa; Chordata; Mammalia; Primates; Hominidae.
GAUGGUUUUAAAAAUGAGAGUUUCCCUGCACAAGCUCUCUUUCUGCCUGCUGCCAUCCACAUAAGAUGUGGCUUGCUCCUCCUUGCCUUCCACCAUGAUUGUGAGGCUUCCUCAGCCAUGGAACUAAUUGUCCUCUCACUGUGACAUCCAGUCAACACUGGCCUUCAUUCUACGCCUGCUGCCCUGAUGAUUGCACGUUAAUGAAGCACAAAGAGGAGUUAUUACUGUCCAUUUAUUUUCCAUCCCCACAGAUAGUAGUAGGACCAGCCUGUCCUCUUCUUAGUAGGUGGAGAAAAAGGCUUAUUAAAUGUCAAAAAUAUUUUGAGUACUUCUUGGACAGCUUCAGGAGUCAAACCACCUGCAAAGAAUCAUCAGGCCUGCCUCCAUUGAAAGCUGUCUAUUGGGAAGGGACUCUGUCACCCACUUGUGGAACUCAUUGAGUUCUGUCAUGUGGCUUCUUCACCAAAAACAUGCCUUAUGAUUCCUCAUUAGCACAGCUUCUCUUUCUAAAGCUAUUUCCUUUGAUGUAGUGCCCCCCCCCCCAACUAUCUACAUCUCAUUUCAAUUUUACAGCCUCUAUUCUCUGUCCUUGUUUGCAUAGCAGCAAAGGAAAUCUUAAUUGCUUUGUAUUUAUAGUCAGAGUCUAAACUGUUGGAUUAAUUCAUGUAUCAAUUCUGAAAUUCAUUAAAUAAAUAUUGAUUAAAAGAACACUUUUAAUAUACACUGUUAUAAGGAUAUACACUGUUAUAAGGAUAUACACUGUUAUAAGGAUACAACAGUUGAGUAAGACACUUUGGAAAUAGAUAAUGGUGAUGAACACACAAUGCUGUGAAUGUAAUUAAUGCCACUGAAUUGUGUAUUUUAAAGUGGGCACUAUGGAGAAUAAUAUGAAGGUUUUUCAAAAAAACUACAACUAGAAUGGCCAUGUCAUUCAACAAUCUCACUACUGGGAAUUUAUCCAAAGAAAAGGAAAUUAUUAUUUCAAAGAAACAUCUGCACUCUCAUGUUUAUUGCAGCACUAUUAAUAAUAGCCAAGAUAUGGAACCAGCCUAGGUGUCCAACAACAAAUGAAUGGAUAAAGAAAAUAUGGCAUAUAUACACAGUGGAAUACCAUUCCGCCACAAAAAGGAAUAAAAUCCUGUCAUUCAUGGCAAUAUGGAUAUAACUGGAUGACAUUUUGUUAAGUAAAAUAAGGCAGGUAUAGAAAGUUAAACUCCUCACGUUCUUUCAUAUGUGAAAGCUAAAAGAAGUUAAUCAUGGAAAUGAAAAGUAGAAUGCAGGAUACUAGAGGCCGGGAAGGGUAGGUGGAAGAGGGAGUUAGGGAGAAAUGUGUUAAAGGAUACAAAGUUACAGCCACAUAGGAGGAAUAGGUUCUAGUGUCCUAUACCAGUAUAGGAUGACUAUAGUUAAUAACAAUACAUUAUAAGGUUUCAAAUAGCAAGAAGGAAGAUAUUGAAUGCUCCCAACACAGAGAAAUGACAAAUGUUUGAGAUGAUGGGCGUGUUAAUUACCCUGAUCUGAUCACUAUUAUACAUUAUACAUAUCAAAACAUCACUAUGUACCCCAUGAAUAUGUACAAUUAUUAUUUGUCAAUUAAAAGAAUUAAGAAGUUUAUGUUCCAUAUAUUUACUGCAAUAAGAAAAAUGCUUUACCAAAAAAAGCAAUGAAUAAGACAGUCCUGGUCUUCACAGUGCCCAAAGUCUAGUAAGAAAGACAGACCUAUGAAAUAAAGUAUUGUUGGUGAGAAUAUAGAAAGAUGUAAAGGACACGGUGAAUGCAAAGGAGGAUACUGUGAGCUAAAUUCACCUUUUUAUUUUAUUUGUCUUUGUUUUGCUUUUUAGUUAGUGGCAUCUGUUAGAGACAGUUUCUUGAAGUGAGGACUCAAAGAUGAGCAAUUCUCGAGAAACCAGAGGCCCAAGCUCCCUGAAACACUGGAUGCUGUGAUGCAGGCAAUAACAUUUGAAUGACAGUAGAAACCUUGGGUAGUUUAGUCCUAAAUUCAGUACUUCUUUCUACCAUCAUUAAUUUGUCCUACCCAGGACAGAGACUAGGGACUAGUGAGACCCCUAUUUCAUAAAUAAAUAAAUAAAAUUUGUAAAAAAGAGACAGAGGCAUCUAGGGUGCAAAAUUUAAGGAGGCAUUCCCUCUAAGGGACAGGCUGACUUGCAUGACCUUGAAAGUGAGCACCUCCUUUAAUAAUACCCUUAUGAUCAUCAUGGUCCAUAGUAUCCUUCCUGCAGUUGCCUGUUUCCUUGCCUGCCUCCCUAUAUGAACUAUAAAUUGUGCCAUGCGCAUCUUUUUAUCUACUGGGGCUAGAACAAAGUAUGGCACAUAGAAAACACCCAAGGAAUAUUAGUUUGAUUUGGGAAACAUUUUUAAAAUAAAGAAAUGCAUGGCCACAAUCCACUAUAUCCCCUAGGAACCAAGCUCUUCAGACUCUCUUCUCCUUGGCUUCCAUCUCUGUCCUGUCAAGCUGAAGUUUGUUCAGGGUUCAUGUUCUCUGAAGGCUUCCAAGUAGAUACUGUGUCAGUGCCUCUGGAACCCUUCUACUCACCUUUUAUCAGGUUUUUUUCCUCCCUGUGAUUGAUUUUGAAUAGUUGCUCUAUCUUCAAGUCCACUGUCAAAUCCACCAUAAAUUCCAUUCAGAUAAAUUCUCAUUUUAAAUAUUGUAUUUUUUUUAUCUCUAGAAGCUCCAUUGGUUCUAUUUGUAUCUUCUAUUUCUUCACUACGUUUGCAUUUUUCUUUACAUUCUUGGGCACACGGAAUAUACUUAUAGAAACAAUUUCAAUGUCCUUGUUCAUUAAGUUCAUCAUCUCUGUUAUUUCUGGGUAUCUUUCAACUAAUCGAUGUUUCUCCUAGCCGUGGGUCACAUUUUCUUACUUCUUAUGGCUGAAAGUGGAAGUCAAUCCUCACUGUUUUUUUCAUACACAUUUUCAACCUUGUUCUAUUAAAUUAAACAUGACUUUCCCUUGAUGACAGAGCUUGACAGAACUUCCCUCUCAUCUUCACCCGAUGGAUCAUUUUCUCAAUAUCUUCCUCUCCCAGGACCAGGAGGAGGUGUUAGAAGUGACUUUAUCACACUGUUGUUUCUUAGUAAUUAUUCACCUGAAUGUUUUGUUUUGACACACCCAGAAUGGACUUCCACUACAUAGUCCUUUUCUCUAUGAUGUAUCUCUACACCUCCAGGAGUCUCUAUCUUCCUUUUUAGAAGUUCUUAGCGUUGAGUUUACAGUUUCUUUGUCCUAUAUCCUAUUUCCUUUCCUAUUUCCUCAAACUAUCUUGAGUCUUACUUCAAGCAGAAAGUCAAACCAAGUAUAAGUUUCCUCAACUCUGUUCAUCUCCAAAUUUCAUUUCUCUGUACAUUUGCUAAUAUUUUCUUCCCUCCCCUGUCUCCUUGUGGAAUGUGACCACUCUUGGGAAUAACCUUAUUCCCUCCUUCUAUGCACUUGAGUAUAUCCCCAUGGAUUCUCCUAAGCAUUGCUCCUACAAACAUGCUCCUUCUUUUUCCUUCUACUUGCCCAUGGAUAAUGAAUCCCUCAAACAGAUGUAUGCUUUGUUCUUGGUAUAUUAAUAAUAGCCAUCAUAAAAUGUGUCUUGAUUCAUGCCUUAUACUUUCUUAGGUGCUUUUCCUCUUUUCUCUCUUGUACUGGGUAUAUCUUUUAUUCCAGAAAGCUAAUUUUGAUAAUUCCAUUUCCAG